UUUAAAUAUAACCAUAAGUUUUCUUUUCUAACUUUAAUCGUUCAUCUUAUUUAAAACCUUUUUUAUAAUUAUUAAAUUUUUAUGAGAUGAUAAAAUAUGAAUAGUACUUUAUUUGUUUUAUUUGUGACUUAUGUUUUUUUAAUAAGACAGAUGAUCAAAAUUAGACGUGGAAAGUUAUGGCUGCACUUAAA
Molecule: non-coding RNA, 191 nt
Organism: Oryza nivara
Lineage: Eukaryota; Viridiplantae; Streptophyta; Magnoliopsida; Poales; Poaceae
Source: Rfam